This 282-nucleotide small nuclear RNA is filed under the name Chinchilla lanigera (long-tailed chinchilla). Its description in RNAcentral is "7SK RNA (ENSCLAG00000021470.1)". It matches the Rfam family "7SK RNA". From Rfam's summary of the family: 7SK was discovered as an abundant small nuclear RNA in the mid-70s but a possible function has only recently been suggested. Two independent studies have found that 7SK RNA binds the CDK9/cyclin T complex (known as elongation factor P-TEFb). The record is from RNAcentral. Lineage: Eukaryota; Metazoa; Chordata; Mammalia; Rodentia; Chinchillidae.
GGAUAUGAAGGUGAUCUGGCUGUGAUAUCUGUCACCCCAUUGACUGCCAGGGUUGAUUCUGCUGAUCUGGCUGGCUAGGCGGUGUCCCCUUCCUUCCUCACAGCUCUGUGUGUGUCUCUGAUGAAGCUGCAUUCCUGGUGGUAGAGAAUGACCACCCCAAUAGAGGAGGACCAUUUCUUCCGUCAAGGGUCUAUGAGUAACUGCUCUUCCCCACUAGGACCUCCAAAAAAGCUCUCAAGUUCCAUUUACUUAGGUAUACUUAAGUAUACCUAAGUCUUUCUU